Molecule: ribosomal RNA, 465 nt
Filed under: uncultured bacterium
Lineage: Bacteria
Description: bacterial SSU rRNA
Rfam family: Bacterial small subunit ribosomal RNA
Source: RNAcentral
GGGCCCGCACAAGCAGUGGAGUAUGUGGUUUAAUUCGACGCAACGCGAAGAACCUUACCAGGGCUUGACAUCGUCUGACCGCAUAAGAGAUUAUGCUUUCCCUUCGGGGACAGAUAGACAGGUGGUGCAUGGUUGUCGUCAGCUCGUGUCGUGAGAUGUUGGGUUAAGUCCCGCAACGAGCGCAACCCCUAUUGCCAGUUGCCAGCGAGUAAUGUCGGGCACUCUGGCGAGACUGCCGUUGACAAAACGGAGGAAGGUGGGGACGACGUCAAAUCAUCAUGCCCCUUAUGUCCUGGGCUACACACGUACUACAAUGGCAACAACAGAGGGCAGCCAAACCGCGAGGUUGAGCGAAUCCCCAAAUGUUGUCUCAGUUCAGAUUGCAGGCUGCAACUCGCCUGCAUGAAGUCGGAAUUGCUAGUAAUGGCAGGUCAGCAUACUGCCGUGAAUACGUUCCCGGGCCUU